RNAcentral lists this ribosomal RNA (619 nucleotides) under uncultured bacterium. RNAcentral describes it as "bacterial SSU rRNA". It matches the Rfam family "Bacterial small subunit ribosomal RNA", at positions 338 to 951 of the family's 1533-position model. The record is from RNAcentral.
CCUACGGGAGGCAGCAGUGGGGAAUUUUGGACAAUGGGCGCAAGCCUGAUCCAGCAAUGCCGCGUGAGUGAAGAAGGCCUUCGGGUUGUAAAGCUCUUUUGUCAGGGAAGAAACGGUGAGAGCUAAUAUCUCUUGCUAAUGACGGUACCUGAAGAAUAAGCACCGGCUAACUACGUGCCAGCAGCCGCGGUAAUACGUAGGGUGCAAGCGUUAAUCGGAAUUACUGGGCGUAAGGCGUGCGCAGGCGGUUUUGUAAGUUUGUCGUGAAAUCCCCGGGCUCAACCUGGGAAUGGCGAUGAAGACUGCAAGGCUAGAGUUUGGCAGAGGGGGGUAGAAUUCCACGUGUAGCAGUGAAAUGCGUAGAUAUGUGGAGGAACACCGAUGGCGAAGGCAGCCCCCUGGGUCAAAACUGACGCUCAUGCACGAAAGCGUGGGGAGCAAACAGGAUUAGAUACCCUGGUAGUCCACGCCCUAAACGAUGUCUACUAGUUGUCGGGUCUUAAUUGACUUGGUAACGCAGCUAACGCGUGAAGUAGACCGCCUGGGGAGUACGGUCGCAAGNUUAAAACUCAAAGGAAUUGACGGCUGAGAGNGCGACGGACGACGACGAGGGAGGAGG